AAGUCGUAACAAGGUCUCCGUAGGUGAACCUGCGGAGGGAUCAUAUUUAGGAAUAUAAGAGAGGAAAUAUGGGUAGGUCUUUAGGGGACUAUUUGUAUGACUCUUUAGGAAGAGCACCAAGUGAAUGAGUUAGUAGAGAGGAUUGCUAUAUUGUUAUAUCAGUAUAGCAAACCUCUUUUUAAACCUAAACUGUUUGUAUCAAAAUAUUCAUGUCUAGUAAAAUAUUAUAAAAAACAACUUUUAACAACGGAUCUCUAGGCUCUU
RNAcentral lists this unclassified non-coding RNA (264 nucleotides) under fungal sp. RNAcentral describes it as "partial internal transcribed spacer region". The stretch from base 1 to 46 matches the Rfam family "Eukaryotic small subunit ribosomal RNA", at positions 1786 to 1831 of the family's 1831-position model. Lineage: Eukaryota; Fungi. The record is from RNAcentral.